Molecule: non-coding RNA, 351 nt
Filed under: Brenneria salicis ATCC 15712 = DSM 30166
Lineage: Bacteria; Pseudomonadati; Pseudomonadota; Gammaproteobacteria; Enterobacterales; Pectobacteriaceae
Source: RNAcentral
ACACUGAGUGUUAUGGUUAUCAUCGGUAGUUGGCGGUCUUUUCAUCUUGUAUUUGGUUUGCCGCUUUCUUUCAGGAUGAAACCCGUUUUCAGGAUGAAAUCAGGGACACCUCCAGGACGGAGACUGAGAGCCGAUUAGGAGUGUUGGUGGGGCAGGAGCCUAAAAGGAUUGGAUCAUGGAUGAUAUACAGGGAUGGCCAAGUCAGGAAGAAAGUUGGACGACAGCAUGGAUGGCUGGUUAGGAAGACCAUCAAGGAAAAGUUUUCAUGGAUGAGCAGGGAUGCAAAGGUUUAGCGGGAUAGCUAUAAAACGAAUAGGGGGUACUGAGUGAUCAGUACCCCCAUUUUUUUGU